AUUGAACGCUGGCGGCAUGCCUUACACAUGCAAGUCGAACGGCAGCACGGGAGCAAUCCUGGUGGCGAGUGGCGAACGGGUGAGUAAUACAUCGGAACGUGCCCAAUCGUGGGGGAUAACGCAGCGAAAGCUGUGCUAAUACCGCAUACGAUCUACGGAUGAAAGCAGGGGACCGCAAGGCCUUGCGCGAAUGGAGCGGCCGAUGGCCGAGUAGGUAGUUGGUGGGGUAAAGGCUCACCAAGCCAACGAUCUGUAGCUGGUCUGAGAGGACGACCAGCCACACGGGGACUGGGACACGGCCCAGACUCCUACGGGAGGCAGCAGUGGGGAAUUUUGGACAAUGGGGGCAAGCCUGAUCCAGCCAUGCCGCGUGCAGGAUGAAGGCCUUCGGGUUGGAAACUGCUUUUGUACGGAACGAAACGGCCUUUUCUAAUAAAGAGGGCUAAUGACGGUACCGUAAGAAUAAGCACCGGCUAACUACGUG
This 484-nucleotide ribosomal RNA is filed under the name uncultured bacterium. RNAcentral describes it as "partial 16S ribosomal RNA". It matches the Rfam family "Bacterial small subunit ribosomal RNA", at positions 29 to 507 of the family's 1533-position model. The record is from RNAcentral.